UACCUGGUUGAUCCUGCCAGUAGUCAUAUGCUUGUCUCAAAG
RNAcentral lists this ribosomal RNA (42 nucleotides) under Seorsus clavifolius. RNAcentral describes it as "partial small subunit ribosomal RNA". The record is from RNAcentral. Lineage: Eukaryota; Viridiplantae; Streptophyta; Magnoliopsida; Myrtales; Myrtaceae.